AUUGAACGCUGGCGGCAGGCCUAACACAUGCAAGUCGAGCGGAUGAAGGGAGCUUGCUCCUGGAUUCAGCGGCGGACGGGUGAGUAAUGCCUAGGAAUCUGCCUGGUAGUGGGGGAUAACGUCCGGAAACGGGCGCUAAUACCGCAUACGUCCUGAGGGAGAAAGUGGGGGAUCUUCGGACCUCACGCUAUCAGAUGAGCCUAGGUCGGAUUAGCUAGUUGGUGGGGUAAAGGCCUACCAAGGCGACGAUCCGUAACUGGUCUGAGAGGAUGAUCAGUCACACUGGAACUGAGACACGGUCCAGACUCCUACGGGAGGCAGCAGUGGGGAAUAUUGGACAAUGGGCGAAAGCCUGAUCCAGCCAUGCCGCGUGUGUGAAGAAGGUCUUCGGAUUGUAAAGCACUUUAAGUUGGGAGGAAGGGCAGUAAGUUAACACCUUGCUGUUUUGACGUUACCAACAGAAUAAGCACCGGCUAACCUCGUG
Molecule: ribosomal RNA, 484 nt
Filed under: uncultured bacterium
Lineage: Bacteria
Description: partial 16S ribosomal RNA
Rfam family: Bacterial small subunit ribosomal RNA
Source: RNAcentral